UACAGAGGUCCCAAGCGUUGUUCGGAUUCACUGGGCGUAAAGGGUGCGUAGGUGGCGAGGUAAGUCGGAUAUGAAAGCUCGGAGCUCAACUCCGAAAUGGCAUUGGAAACUACCUUGCUCGAGGGUCGGAGGGGGGACUGGAAUACUUGGUGUAGCAGUGAAAUGCGUAGAUAUCAAGUGGAACACCAGUGGCGAAGGCGAGUCCCUGGACGACUCCUGACACUGAGGCACGAAAGCUAGGGGAGCAAACAGG
This 253-nucleotide ribosomal RNA is filed under the name uncultured bacterium. RNAcentral describes it as "partial 16S ribosomal RNA". It matches the Rfam family "Bacterial small subunit ribosomal RNA", at positions 524 to 776 of the family's 1533-position model. The record is from RNAcentral.